AAAAUUUAGUUAAAUUUAUAACAUUAACUUGUCAAGUUAAAAUUAUUUUUAAAUAAAUAAUUUUUA
This 66-nucleotide transfer RNA is filed under the name Crepidodera sp. BMNH 846615. RNAcentral describes it as "tRNA-Asp". The record is from RNAcentral. Lineage: Eukaryota; Metazoa; Arthropoda; Insecta; Coleoptera; Chrysomelidae.